UUAAGGGAGUAAGAUGGAUACCUUGGCACUGGGAAGCGAUGAAGGACGUGGUAGUCUGCGAUAAGCCUUGGGGAGCCGUCAAACAGGCUUUGAUCCAGGGAUUUCCGAAUAGGGCAACCUAGCGGGGGUUAUGCCCCACUACUUAUAUCUGAAUCCAUAGGAUAUAAGGGCGAACCAGGGGAAUUGAAACAUCUUAGUAUCCUGAGGAAAAGAAAGCAAUAGCGAUUCCCCCAGUAGCGGCGAGCGAAAAGGGAAGAGCCUAAACCAGAUGAAUGUUAAAGCUUACAGGCAUUGUUCAUCUGGGGUUGUAGGUUUAACGAAUCCCAAGCUGUAAUGCGGGAGGAAAAUCUUUUUUUCUAGAGGAGCGAUACUGGAAAGGUCGGUCAAAGAAGGUAAUAACCCUGUACUCGAAAGAGAAAAAGAUUUUUUGCUUGUUAGACCUGAGUACCAUCGGACCCGAGAAAUCUGGUGGGAAACUGGGAGGAUCACCUCCUAAGGCUAAAUAUUCCCCAGUGACCGAUAGUGAACAAGUACCGUGAGGGAAAGGUGAAAAGAACCCCGGAAGGGAAAUGAAAUAGAACUUGAAAUCUUACUCCUACAAGCAGUGGGAGCUCGUCUUUUAUUUGGCGAGUGACCGCGUACCUUUUGCAUAAUGGGCCGGCGAGUUACUUAGAGUAGCAAGGUUAAGGGAUACAUUCCCGGAGCCGUAGCGAAAGCGAGUCCUAACUGGGCGUUAAGUUGCUCUAAGUAGACCCGAAACCAGGUGAUUUACCCAAGACCAGGAUGAAGUACACUUGACCGUGUAUGGAGGUCCGAACGCACCUACGUUGAAAAGUGGGGCGAUGAGUUUUGGGUAGGGGCGAAAGACUAAUCAAACCUGGCGAUAGCUGGUUCUCCCCGAAAUAGCUUUAGGGCUAGCCUUGUGUAUGGGUGACUGGGGUAGAGCACUGAAUGACAGAGGAACCCUCGUGGUUUCUUUGAUCAACCAAACUCCGAAUACAGUCAUCUCAAUCACAGGAGUCAGACUAUGGGGGAUAAGCUUCAUGGUCGAGAGGGAAACAGCCCAGACCGCCAGUUAAGGUCUCUAAUACAGACUAAGUGGGAAAGGAUGUGAGAGCACUUAGAUAGCCAGGAGGUUGGCUUAGAAGCAGCCAUCCUUUAAAGAAUGCGUAACAGCUCACUGGGUUAGUGGUUUUGCGCCAAAAAUUUAAGGAGGCUUAAGUCUGUUACCAAAACUGCGGAAGCAAGACAUCUUGUAGUUAGGAGUUGUUAGUUACUUAGGUUUUUUCUGGGUAGCUAACAACCGAUUGUUAAUAACUGCAGGGCAAAGCCUUGCUUGGUAGGGGAGCAUUCCAUUGUAGGUUGAAGGGGAACCGUAAGGUACCUGGACGAAAUGGAAGAGAUGAUGCCGGCAUAAGUACACGAGACAAGGAAGAGUAAACCUUGCGCCGAAAGUCUAAGGUUUCCUGGGGAAGGCUAAUCCGCCCAGGGUAAGUCGGUCCUAAGCUGAGGCCGAAAGGCGUAGGCAAUGGAUAGCCGGGUAGAAAAUUCCGGCACCACCUUGGGUACUGUUAAACUGAUGGGGGGACGCAGAAGGAUAUGUCCGCCUGGAGUUGAAUUUCCAGGUCCAAGCAGUAUAGGAAAGAGUUCAGGCAAAUCCGAAUUCUUAUUGAUCCAAACUGUUAUGGGGACUCCCAUUUAAGCGGAGGAAGGGAUUGAUUCCAUCUGCCAAGAAAAGCCUCUAAGUGAUGUACUCAGGUGACCGUACCGCAAACUGACACAGGUAGACUGGCUGAGAAUGCUAAGGCGUUCGAGAGAACCCUCGUUAAGGAACUCGGCAAAUUGGCCCCGUAACUUCGGGAGAAGGGGUGCCUCAUUAGUGUUGUAUUAGAUUGCUUGCAAUCUGAGAAGCGCGAAGAGGUUGCAAUAAAGAGGCCCAAGCGACUGUUUACUAAAAACACAAGUCUCUGCUAACCCAAAAGGGGAUGUAUAGGGACUGAAGUCUGAUCAGUGCUGGAAGGUUAAGGUAAGAGGUGUAAGCUUCGAACUGAAGCCCCAGUUAACAUCGGCUCUAACUAUAAGAGUCCUAAGGUAGCGAAACUCCUUGUCGGGUAAGUUCCGACCCGCAUGAAUGACGCAACGACUUGGGCACUGUCUCAACGAGGGACUCGGUGAAAUUGUAGUAUCGGUGAAGAUACCGAUUAUCCAUGGCAGGACGAGAAGACCCCGGAACCUUUACUGUAGCCUGGCAUUGGAUUCUGAUAUGGUUUGUAUAGAAUAGGUGGGAGGCUAAGAAAGGGGAGCGCUAGUUCCCCUGGAGCCAUCAGUGGAAUACCACCCUUGCCAUGUUGUAAUUCUAACCUGCAUCCGUUAUCCGGAUGAGGGACAGUGCUUGGUGGGCAGUUUGACUGGGGCGGUUGCCUCCUAAAGAGUAACGGAGGCGUCCGAAGGUUCCCUCAGCGCGUAUAGAAAUCGCGUGUAGAGUAUAAAGGUAUAAGGGAGCUUAACUGCGAGAGAGACAUCUCAAGCAGAUGCGAAAGCAGGGCUUAGUGAUCCUGCGGUUCUGAGUGAAAGGGCCGUGGCUUAACGGCUAAAAGGUACUCCGGGGAUAACAGGCUUAUCUCCUCCGAGAGUUCCCAUCGACGAGGAGGUUUGGCACCUCGAUGUCGGCUCGCCGCAUCCUGGGGCGGUAGCCCGUCCCAAGGGUUAGUCUGUUCGCCUAUUAAAGCGGUACGCGAGCUGGGUUUAAACCGUCGCAAGACAGGUUGGUCUUUAUCCGCCAUGGACGAAAGAGAUUUGAGGGGCGCUGUCCUUAGUACGAGAGGACCAGGAUGGACGGACCUCUAGUGUACCAGUUGUCACGUCAGUGGCAUCGCUGGGUAGCUAUGUCCGGAUGGGAUAACCACUGAAAGCAUCUAAGUGGGAAGCCCACCCCAAGAUAAGAUCUCUCACUCUGUAAAGAGGUAAGGUUCCUGGAAGACUACCAGGUUGAUAGGCCAGUGGUGUAAGCGUGGUAACAUGUUUAGCUUACUGGUACUAAUAAACCGAGGAUUUGAUGA
RNAcentral lists this ribosomal RNA (3059 nucleotides) under Aerophobetes bacterium JGI 0000014-A15. RNAcentral's name for it is "bacterial LSU rRNA". It matches the Rfam family "Bacterial large subunit ribosomal RNA". Lineage: Bacteria; Candidatus Aerophobota. The record is from RNAcentral.